This 253-nucleotide ribosomal RNA is filed under the name uncultured bacterium. RNAcentral's name for it is "partial 16S ribosomal RNA". It matches the Rfam family "Bacterial small subunit ribosomal RNA", at positions 524 to 776 of the family's 1533-position model. The record is from RNAcentral.
UACGUAGGGGGCGAGCGUUGUCCGGAUUUAUUGGGCGUAAAGAGCGUGUAGGCGGCCAGAUAGGUCUGUUGUGAAAACUCGAGGCUCAACCUCGAGACGCCGAUGGAAACCAUUUGGCUAGAGUCCGGAAGAGGAGAGUGGAAUUCCUGGUGUAGCGGUGAAAUGCGCAGAUAUCAGGAAGAACACCCGUGGCUAAGGCGGCUCUCUAGUACGGUACUGACGCUGAGACGCGAAAGCGUGGGGAGCGAACAGG